RNAcentral lists this unclassified non-coding RNA (214 nucleotides) under Melitaea cinxia (Glanville fritillary). Its description in RNAcentral is "misc RNA ENSMCXG00005000247.1". The record is from RNAcentral. Lineage: Eukaryota; Metazoa; Arthropoda; Insecta; Lepidoptera; Nymphalidae.
GUCUUUUUACAACUGAUACUACUUAUUUUUACAAUAUGAUGACGAUGAUGACGCAAUCAAAUUGAUUGUGCAGACAUACAUAAAAAAACUACCGCUACAUUAUUUCAAGCUUAUUCUAUCUACAAAUUUAAGAAAAAACUUGGCAUGUUAUACCCUAGUUCGACAGAUUCGACUUUAACAUAUUUGUUUAGAAUAAGUGUUGUUUAAUGUGAGA